UACGUAGGGGGCAAGCGUUGUCCGGAAUUAUUGGGCGUAAAGAGCGUGUAGGCGGCCAGAUAAGUCCGCUGUGAAAACUCGAGGCUCAACUUCGAGCUGUCGGUGGAAACUAUUUGGCUAGAGUCCGGAAGAGGAGAGUGGAAUUCCUGGUGUAGCGGUGAAAUGCGCAGAUAUCAGGAAGAACACCCGUGGCGAAGGCGGCUCUCUGGUACGGAACUGACGCUGAGACGCGAAAGCGUGGGGAGCGAACAGG
Molecule: ribosomal RNA, 253 nt
Filed under: uncultured bacterium
Lineage: Bacteria
Description: partial 16S ribosomal RNA
Rfam family: Bacterial small subunit ribosomal RNA
Source: RNAcentral